This 566-nucleotide ribosomal RNA is filed under the name uncultured bacterium. RNAcentral describes it as "partial 16S ribosomal RNA". It matches the Rfam family "Bacterial small subunit ribosomal RNA", at positions 355 to 914 of the family's 1533-position model. The record is from RNAcentral.
UGGGGAAUUUUGGACAAUGGGCGCAAGCCUGAUCCAGCCAUGCCGCGUGCGGGAAGAAGGCCUUCGGGUUGUAAACCGCUUUUGUCAGGGAAGAAAUCUUCUGAGUUAAUACCUCGGGAGGAUGACGGUACCUGAAGAAUAAGCACCGGCUAACUACGUGCCAGCAGCCGCGGUAAUACGUAGGGUGCAAGCGUUAAUCGGAAUUACUGGGCGUAAAGCGUGCGCAGGCGGUUUUGUAAGACAGAGGUGAAAUCCCCGGGCUCAACCUGGGAACUGCCUUUGUGACUGCAAGCUUGAGUGCGGCAGAGGGGGGAUGGAAUUCCGCGUGUAGCAGUGAAAUGCGUAGAUAUGCGGAGGAACACCGAUGGCGAAGGCAAUCCCCUGGGCCUGCACUGACGCUCAUGCACGAAAGCGUGGGGAGCAAACAGGAUUAGAUACCCUGGUAGUCCACGCCCUAAACGAUGUCAACUGGUUGUUGGGAAGGUUCCUUCUCAGUAACGUAGCUAACGCGUGAAGUUGACCGCCUGGGGAGUACGGCCGCAAGGUUGAAACUCAAAUGAAUUGAC